CCUAAAACUCAGUGCCCAGGUCCAUUGGGAUAACAAGGCAUUUUCUAAUCUGAUUUACAAAGACACCAGUAUGACAUGGCAGAGAAAUAAAAAGGGGGCAGGGCAGGGGGACACAGGCCUCGAACCCGCCGCAGGUUUUCUCUGCGUUCCGGUGACUCCCGGCGGUCUGUGCUCUGGGUGCUGAGCAGGUGUUUUCUGUUCUCUCGCCAGCUGCACGGCUACUUGGAGAAUGAGCCGCUGAUGUUGCAGCUUUUCAUUGGGACGGCGGACGACCGCCUGCUGCGCCCGCACGCCUUCUACCAGGUGCACCGCAUCACAGGGAAGACCGUGUCCACCACCAGCCACGAGGCCAUCCUCUCCAACACCAAAGUCCUGGAGAUCCCACUCCUGCCGGAGAACAGCAUGCGAGCCGUCAUUGACUGUGCCGGAAUCCUGAAACUCAGAAACUCCGACAUUGAACUUCGGAAAGGAGAGACGGACAUCGGGAGGAAGAACACACGGGUACGGCUGGUGUUCCGCGUUCACGUC
Molecule: small RNA, 528 nt
Filed under: Pan troglodytes (chimpanzee)
Lineage: Eukaryota; Metazoa; Chordata; Mammalia; Primates; Hominidae
Description: retained intron
Source: RNAcentral